CCGCGAUAUUUUGAUCGUGCUAAGGUAGCAUAAUCAUUAGUUUUUUAAUUGAAAGCUAGAAUGAAGGGUUGGAUGAAAAAAAUUCUGUCUUAAUUAAAAUUUUGUAAAAUUUUAUUUUUAAGUUAAAAAGCUUAAAUAGGAUUAAAAGACGAGAAGACCCUAUAGAGUUUGAUAUUUAUUUUAAUUUUUUAUUUUUAGAAUUAAAUUUAAUUAUAAAAUAAUUAUUUAAUUGGGGUGAUUAAAAAAUUUAGAAAACUUUUUUUAUAUCUAAAUAUAAUUAUAUAAAUUAUUGAUCUUAUUAUUUUGAUUAUAAGAAAAAAUUACCUUAGGGAUAACAGCGUAAUUUUAUUGGAAAGUU
RNAcentral lists this ribosomal RNA (358 nucleotides) under Dercetina trifasciata. Its description in RNAcentral is "partial 16S ribosomal RNA". Lineage: Eukaryota; Metazoa; Arthropoda; Insecta; Coleoptera; Chrysomelidae. The record is from RNAcentral.